AUUGAACGCUGGCGGCAGGCCUAACACAUGCAAGUCGAGCGAGCGGCGGACGGGUGAGUAAUGUCUGGGAAACUGCCUGAUGGAGGGGGAUAACUACUGGAAACGGUAGCUAAUACCGCAUACCAUCAGAUGUGCCCAGAUGGGAUUAGCUAGUAGGUGGGGUAGCGGCUCACCUAGGCGACGAUCCCUAGCUGGUCUGAUCGGCUGCCCAGCCACUCUGGAACUGAGCCACGGGCCAGACUCCUACGGGAGGCAGCAGUGGGGAAUAGUGCACAAUGGGCGCAAGCCUGAUGCAGCCAUGCCGCGUGUGUGAAGAAGGCCUUCGGGUUGUAAAGCACUUUCAGCGGGUAGGCGUUACCCGCAGAAGAAGCACCGGCUAACUCCGUGCCAGCAGCCGCGGUAAUAC
Molecule: ribosomal RNA, 406 nt
Filed under: uncultured bacterium
Lineage: Bacteria
Description: partial 16S ribosomal RNA
Rfam family: Bacterial small subunit ribosomal RNA
Source: RNAcentral